AGAGUUUGAUCAUGGCUCAGGAUGAACGCUGGCGGUGUGCCUAAUACAUGCAAGUCGAACGGAAUCUUAUUUGUUCUUCGUUCGAACCCUCGGGUCCGGGCAGAAGAACAAUACGAUUUAGUGGCGGACGGGUGAGUAACACGUUGGUACCUACCCCGAAGUGGGGAAUAACUGCCCGAAAGGGUAGCUAAUACCGCACUAUUGUGCGCCUUGUGCGCAUGAAAGCAGUAAUGCGCUUCGGGAGGGGCCUGCGUCCCAUUAGCUAGUUGGUAAGGGUAAAAGCCUACCAAGGCGACGAUGGGUAGCUGGAUCGAGAGGUUGACCAGCCACACUGGGACUGAGAUACGGCCCAGACUCCUACGGGAGGCAGCAGUAAGGAAUCUUCCACAAUGGACGAAAGUCUGAUGGAGCAACACCGCGUGCAGGAUGACGGCCUUAGGGUUGUAAACUGCUUUUAUAGAUGAAGAUUAUGACGGUAAUCUAUGAAUAAGGACCGGCUAACUACGUG
This 508-nucleotide ribosomal RNA is filed under the name uncultured bacterium. RNAcentral describes it as "bacterial SSU rRNA". It matches the Rfam family "Bacterial small subunit ribosomal RNA", at positions 8 to 507 of the family's 1533-position model. The record is from RNAcentral.